Molecule: ribosomal RNA, 465 nt
Filed under: Triticum aestivum (bread wheat)
Lineage: Eukaryota; Viridiplantae; Streptophyta; Magnoliopsida; Poales; Poaceae
Description: partial small subunit ribosomal RNA
Source: RNAcentral
AUGGUGCUUCCUAAGGAGAUGGGGUCGCUUGGAGAGUACUUGGCGAUUCUGACUACGACCACACUGCCGUCGUUGGAGCCCAGUCGGCUGCUCGCCUUUGUGGACCGUGGAGGUUUGGACGCUGCUAUUGCGCUCUCACCUGAGGUUGUUGCCCAGGUGGCGUCCGUGGGUGCUGAGGUUGAUGAGAUAGGUGCUUUGGCAGCUAAUUAUGAGGUGAUGAAGCCCGUUCGGUCGCCCAUGUUUGACCGUGACGCUAUGUUGACACGUAUUGACGAGGCGGUCUUCGUGAAAAAACUUGGCCGCUUACUCGCCUCCUUGGAGAUAGCUUGUCCUGGGUCUUGCAGUGUGAUUGCUUGCCUCUUAGUGGAUGAGGUUUCUACAGGCAAAAUAAAGAAAGUGAACAAGGCUCUCAGGAGCAUAGGCAAGAAGAGUGUCGCCAUUGAUAAGGCGUCUGCGGCUGCUUAA